This is a long non-coding RNA of Maylandia zebra (zebra mbuna), 543 nucleotides long. RefSeq lists it as uncharacterized. The record is from RefSeq and is a predicted model, not a curated record. Lineage: Eukaryota; Metazoa; Chordata; Actinopteri; Cichliformes; Cichlidae.
UAGGUCCAUCUGAUAGGAGGAUAAACUGAGAUAGAAAGUAUACCCUACCAUUGCAAUUUCGAGACCCUUCAGUAGUCAUAUUAGUAGCAGUUAUACACGUCAGAGUGGGAGCAUAGAGGGCUGGGCUGGGACUGGGUUUAAAAGCCCACCAGUGAGAGGAGCAUAAUAAGAAACAGGUGAACGCAAUCAGACGUUAAUGAAGAUAGUGAGAGAACAAUGGGGGGAAAUAAAAGCACCAAACGCCACAUGAGAACAUAUUCUUCAAAAUGUCUCACACGAAAUGAACAGAAAACACUGAGAGGGGGAACGCAAAAGUCACAGGAAUAAAGGAAGGGAAGACAUAAAACAAGGAGCUGCAACAGAAACCAGUCCUGGAUGAAUUCUGUAUCUCCAACACUGAAGGACUUGGGGUGCAGAACUCACGGAAACAACGCUUGAAGUUCUCAUCCAGGCACCUGUUUGUGUAGCCGAGAGCGAUGCAGAAAUGCCAGGUGAUAGUCUGGAAAGUGGAGUUGGGGAUGGUGAUCAGAGCUGAGAUGAUGA